This 402-nucleotide ribosomal RNA is filed under the name uncultured bacterium. RNAcentral's name for it is "bacterial SSU rRNA". It matches the Rfam family "Bacterial small subunit ribosomal RNA", at positions 355 to 774 of the family's 1533-position model. The record is from RNAcentral.
UAGGGAAUAUUAGAAAUGGACGAGAGUCUGAUCUAGCGACACCGCGUGUGCGAAGAAGGCCUUCGGGUUGUAAAGCACUUUUUGGAAGGAAUAGGAAGGAAGGUACUUCCAGAAUAAGUCUCGGCUAACUACGUGCCAGCAGCCGCGGUAACACGUAGGAGGCGAACGUUAUCCGGAUUUACUGGGCGUAAAGCGCGUGUAGGUGGUUCUGUAAGUAGGGCGUGAAAGCUCCUGGCUCAACUGGGAGAGGCCGUUCUAAACUGCAGAGCUAGAGGAUGGUAGAGGGAGGUGGAAUUCCAGGUGUAGCGGUGGAAUGCGCAGAUAUCUGGAGGAACACCAGUGGCGAAGGCGGCCUCCUGGACCAUUCCUGACACUCAGACGCGAAAGCUAGGGUAGCAAACG